CAAUAGAUUACUUUUUUGGAAAUUAAUAAUGUAUUUCGUUUUUCUAAUUAAAUUAA
Molecule: small RNA, 56 nt
Filed under: Arabidopsis thaliana (thale cress)
Lineage: Eukaryota; Viridiplantae; Streptophyta; Magnoliopsida; Brassicales; Brassicaceae
Description: ATSL302740
Source: RNAcentral